CGGGAUGUGGCGUAGUUUGGUAGCGCGCUUGGCUGGGGGCCAAGAGGUCGUCGGUUCAAAUCCGGCCAUCCCGA
RNAcentral lists this transfer RNA (74 nucleotides) under Melghiribacillus thermohalophilus. It matches the Rfam family "tRNA". Rfam says of the family: Transfer RNA (tRNA) molecules are approximately 80 nucleotides in length. Their secondary structure includes four short double-helical elements and three loops (D, anti-codon, and T loops). The record is from Rfam by way of RNAcentral. Lineage: Bacteria; Bacillati; Bacillota; Bacilli; Caryophanales; Bacillaceae.